AUCUGGGGCCAUACCACAAUGAACUUACCGCAUCCCGUCCGAUCUGCGCAGUCAAACAUUGUAGGGCCGAGUCAGUAGUGCGGUGGGGGACCACGUGUGAAUACAGUGUUGUGUUUU
This is a ribosomal RNA of Melampsora larici-populina 98AG31, 117 nucleotides long. The record is from Rfam. NCBI's taxonomy places the organism in Eukaryota, Fungi, Basidiomycota, Pucciniomycetes, Pucciniales, Melampsoraceae.